RNAcentral lists this ribosomal RNA (1243 nucleotides) under Myxobolus shaharomae. RNAcentral's name for it is "SSU rRNA". It matches the Rfam family "Eukaryotic small subunit ribosomal RNA", at positions 461 to 1475 of the family's 1831-position model. The record is from RNAcentral. Lineage: Eukaryota; Metazoa; Cnidaria; Myxozoa; Bivalvulida; Myxobolidae.
GAGGUGGUGAAGAGAAUUACUAAAUGGUGGUCCAAUGGAUCACUUGUUUGGAAUGAACGUAACUUAAGAAAUUCGUUGAUAAACAACUGGAGGGCAAGUCCUGGUGCCAGCAGCCGCGGUAAUUCCAGCUCCAGUAGUUUGCUUUAAAGUUGUUGCGUUUAAAACGCUCGUAGUUGGAUCAAGAAGCAGUGUUCAGUUAUCUUUUGUUGCUCACCUUCAUUUGUGUCCGUCUCUGACGGCUCAUUUGCUGGCAGGCGCACUAGAUGCUAUGCUGAAUGCUGUUAGUUGCACGUGAGAUAGAUUGUUGGCCUUAAAUGAGCCGGUAUUCUUGUCUUGCGGGGUGUGCCUUGAAUAAAACAGAGUGCUUAAAGCAGGUUAUUGCCUGAAUGUUAUAGCAUGGAACGAACAAUCGUGUAUAUGCACGUGUUAUUGGAUCGCUGCGAGCUUUUGGUUUGUAGCUUUCCGAAAUGCGUGCGGCACCCACCAAAAUAUGGCUGUUGGUUCCAUAUACGGUGAUGAUUAACAGGAGCGGUUGGGGGCAUCGGUAUUUGGCCGCGAGAGGUGAAAUUCUUAGACCGGCCAAGGACUAACAAAUGCAAAGGCACUUGUCUAGACCGUUUCCAUUAAUCAAGAACGAAAGUGGGAGGUUCGAAGACGAUCAGAUACCGUCAUAGUUCCCACCGUAAACUAUGCCGACCUGGGAUCAGUUUGGAGAUGAUACAAGCUCCAAAUUGGUCCCCCUGGGAAACCUAAAGUUUUUCGGUUACGGGGAGAGUAUGGUCGCAAGGCUGAAACUUAAAGGAAUUGACGGAAGGGCACCACCAGGGGUGGAGCCUGCGGCUUAAUUUGACUCAACACGGGGAAACUUACCUGGUCCGGACAUCGAAAGGAUUAACAGAUCAAUAGCUCUUUUAUGAUACGAUGAGUGGUGGUGCAUGGCCGUUCUUAGUUCGUGGAGUGAUCUGUCAGCUUAAUUGCGGUAACGAACGAGACCACAGUCUCCAUUUGAGAGAUGGAAGAAGGUGUUUGGCCGGAAGACUUCGGUUGACGGUUGAACACUGUAGGUAGAACUGAGUUUCCUUUGUCGAUAUCGAGGGGCAACCUGAGGUAUUGGCGUUGGGAACGCAGUUUCUCCCUUCCAUUUCGCAGCAGUCGGCCUCGGCUGGCUGUUGCUUCAUGGAGAGACAACGAGGUAUAAACAAGCUCGAGGAAGAGUGGCUAUAACAGGUCAGUGAUGCCCUUC